This 497-nucleotide ribosomal RNA is filed under the name uncultured bacterium. RNAcentral describes it as "partial 16S ribosomal RNA". It matches the Rfam family "Bacterial small subunit ribosomal RNA", at positions 28 to 507 of the family's 1533-position model. The record is from RNAcentral.
GAUGAACGCUGGCGGCGUGCCUAAUACAUGCAAGUCGAGCGAACGGACGAGAAGCUUGCUCCUCUGAUGUUAGCGGCGGACGGGUGAGUAACACGUGGAUAACCUGCCUAUAAGACUGUGAUAACUUCGGGAAACCGGAGCUAAUACCGGAUAAUAUGUUGAACCGCAUGGUUCAAAAGUGAAAGACGGUUUUGCUGUCACUUAUAGAUGGAUCCGCGCUGCAUUAGCUAGUUGGUAAGGUAACGGCUUACCAAGGCAACGAUGCGUAGCCGACCUGAGAGGGUGAUCGGCCACACUGGAACUGAGACACGGUCCAGACUCCUACGGGAGGCAGCAGUAGGGAAUCUUCCGCAAUGGGCGAAAGCCUGACGGAGCAACGCCGCGUGAGUGAUGAAGGUCUUCGGAUCGUAAAACUCUGUUAUUAGGGAAGAACAUAUGUGUAAGUAACUGUGCACGUCUUGACGGUACCUAAUCAGAAAGCCACGGCUAACUACGUG